This 484-nucleotide ribosomal RNA is filed under the name uncultured bacterium. Its description in RNAcentral is "partial 16S ribosomal RNA". It matches the Rfam family "Bacterial small subunit ribosomal RNA", at positions 30 to 507 of the family's 1533-position model. The record is from RNAcentral.
AUUGAACGCUAGCGGGAUGCUUUACACAUGCAAGUCGAACGGCAGCGCGGACUUCGGUCUGGCGGCGAGUGGCGAACGGGUGAGUAAUGUAUCGGAACGUGCCCAGUAGCGGGGGAUAACUACGCGAAAGCGUAGCUAAUACCGCAUACGCCCUACGGGGGAAAGCAGGGGAUCGUAAGACCUUGCACUAUUGGAGCGGCCGAUAUCGGAUUAGCUAGUUGGUGAGGUAACGGCUCACCAAGGCGACGAUCCGUAGCUGGUUUGAGAGGACGACCAGCCACACUGGGACUGAGACACGGCCCAGACUCCUACGGGAGGCAGCAGUGGGGAAUUUUGGACAAUGGGGGCAACCCUGAUCCAGCCAUCCCGCGUGUGCGAUGAAGGCCUUCGGUUUGUAAAGCACUUUUGGCAGGAAAGAAACGUCGCGGGCUAAUACCCCGUGGAACUGACGGUACCUGCAGAAUAAGCACCGGCUAACUACGUG